RNAcentral lists this ribosomal RNA (406 nucleotides) under uncultured bacterium. RNAcentral describes it as "partial 16S ribosomal RNA". It matches the Rfam family "Bacterial small subunit ribosomal RNA", at positions 30 to 526 of the family's 1533-position model. The record is from RNAcentral.
AUUGAACGCUGGCGGCAGGCCUAACACAUGCAAGUCGAACGAGUGGCGGACGGGUGAGUAAUGUCUGGGAAACUGCCUGAUGGAGGGGGAUAACUACUGGAAACGGUAGCUAAUACCGCAUACUAUCAGAUGUGCCCAGAUGGGAUUAGCUUGUUGGUGGGGUAACGGCUCACCAAGGCGACGAUCCCUAGCUGGUCUGAGAGUGUGACAAGCCACCAUGAAACUGGGACACGGUCCAGACUCCUACGGGAGGCAGCAUUGGGGAAUAUUGCACAAUGGGCGCAAGCCUGAUGCAGCCAUGCCGCUUGGAUAAAGAAGGCCUUCGGGUUGUAAAGUACUUUCAGCGGGGAGGCGUUACCCGCAGAAGAAGCACCGGCGAACUCCGUGCCAGCAGCCGCGGUAAUUC